AGCAGCCGCGGUAAUUCCAGCUCCAAUAGCGUAUAUUAAAGUUGUUGCAGUUAAAAAGCUCGUAGUUGAACUUCGGAAUUUAUUCAUUGGUCAGGCUUAACUGUCUGUACUGGUGUGAUGAAUUCCUACCUUCUGAGGAAUCUUCAUGCCAUUCACUUGGUGUGGUGGGGAAUCAGGACUGUUACUUUGAAAAAUUAGAGUGUUUAAAGCAGGCUAACGUCUGAAUACAUUAGCAUGGAAUAAUAAAAUAGGACGGCUUGGUUCUAUUUUGUUGGUUCCUAGGAUCACCGUAAUGAUUAAUAGGGAUAGUUGGGGGCAUUAGUAUUCAAUUGUCAGAGGUGAAAUUCUUGGAUUUAUUGAAGACUAACUACUGCGAAAGCAUUUGCCAAGGAUGUUUUCAUUAAUCAAGAACGAAAGUUAGGGGAUCGAAGACGAUCAGAUACCGUCGUA
Molecule: ribosomal RNA, 450 nt
Filed under: uncultured Glomeromycotina
Lineage: Eukaryota; Fungi; Glomeromycota
Description: SSU rRNA
Rfam family: Eukaryotic small subunit ribosomal RNA
Source: RNAcentral